GUCCCCAUCGUCUAGAGGCCCAGGACACAACCCUUUCACGGUUGGUACAGCGGUUCGAAUCCGCUUGGGGACGCCA
Molecule: transfer RNA, 76 nt
Filed under: Sutterella sp. CAG:397
Lineage: Bacteria; Pseudomonadati; Pseudomonadota; Betaproteobacteria; Burkholderiales; Sutterellaceae
Also listed under: 4 other names
Description: transfer RNA-Glu(TTC)
Rfam family: tRNA
About the family: Transfer RNA (tRNA) molecules are approximately 80 nucleotides in length.
Source: RNAcentral